GCCUCUCCCACGGCCACGGCCGAGCGGGCUCCACGGCUCCAGGAGUUCGCCGCGCUAGCUGCCUCCCCCUGCGUCCGCGUCUUGGUACGCGCCGCAGCGCCUGAGGACUAAGUAGGGAGCGCUCGGGUGACUCACCCGCCGCGGGGACUGGGGGAGAGGGGGAGCAGGGCUGGGACUCCCCUUUCCCACCCUGGAGUUUGGGGGCUCUGGCACUGGGGCUGAGAGGGCAGCUUCGAGUCCAAAUUCUCGCUCAAACCCACCUAAACCAAAGCGGCCCGGGGGACGUCGGGAGGCAUGAAGGAGAGUCACAAGGAGACCCCUGAAAGGGUUUCGCUUUCUCUCCCCUGCUGAUGGCUGGGCUGGGGACAGGUCUGGGAGCCUUGCUGCCGCCCUUGCUCCGGCAUUCUGCGCUUGUGUCUUCCCUGCUCCUCUGGGGGUAAUUACAGCCCUGCGCAGCUGCCUUACCCAGGUCUCUAAUCUGCUGGGUCCCUCCCGGCUCCAAACUGGGUGGUCCUAGCCCUGGACCUCCCCCACCCCCACCAGACGACCCCGCCAAUCACCCCAGAAGGAUUUUCUCCCAGUGGUCUGUCGAUGAGGGGGUGGUGACCCCCUCCAGAAUCCACUCCCCAAAGUAGCCCUGCUUCCCAGCCCUCCAGAAUGGACUCCCAGCCCCCUUGUUGGUGCCAGCUGAGGUGAGGGCUUCAAGCCAAGCCAGGCCCAGCCCGGGGCAGAGUGGGGAGCUUGCUGGGAAGGUGGAUGGAUGAUGGUGGUGCUGCUGCAGGGACUUGGGUUGCGGGGGAGGAGGAGGGGCAGCUGUGCCCUGCCCACCCUGGCCCUGCCCUUUGUCCUGACUUCUAGAAGGUCAGUUCUCUAGUUCUUCA
RNAcentral lists this long non-coding RNA (881 nucleotides) under Homo sapiens (human). RNAcentral describes it as "non-protein coding lnc-COL8A2-60:2". Lineage: Eukaryota; Metazoa; Chordata; Mammalia; Primates; Hominidae. The record is from RNAcentral.